CACUAAUCUACCUAAAUUUCGUUUGGGAGACGUGCACAGACUGGCACAAAAGCUUUCGGCCACACCAGCCUCCAAACUCCACAAAGAUUACAAGUUUUUUGUGGAACAAUACCUUUUCGAUUAUGAAGAUAAUGGAGAAAUACUGGCUGAAGGGUGUUUCCAAAAGGCUGAAGAAGAUACAUGAUGCCCGGGUUGAGCAAGAGGUCGUCAUUGUCCAAGGAGAGGAAAAGGACUUCAUGAACAUUUAUAUAAAUGAGGAUAAAAGGGGUUAUCUUUAAUAACUCUAUCAGCCUGGUGCCGUGACGCGGAUCCCAACAUAUCAGCUCGCUGACGAGAGGAGCAACGCGCUGAAACCAACCGGUGGUCUGAGUCAAGGACCUGUCUAAAGUCCCGGGAGGUAAUUUCCUCGCUGGGCCAGCGUCAUAGGUUAACUCCUUUCGCCAACGAGGGAUUGAAGGGAUCUGACCGGGAGAAAAGCACACCA
Fundulus heteroclitus (mummichog) is the source of this 484-nucleotide long non-coding RNA. RefSeq lists it as uncharacterized. The transcript has 3 exons. The record is from RefSeq and is a predicted model, not a curated record. NCBI's taxonomy places the organism in Eukaryota, Metazoa, Chordata, Actinopteri, Cyprinodontiformes, Fundulidae.